This 219-nucleotide long non-coding RNA is filed under the name Physcomitrium patens. RNAcentral describes it as "long non-coding RNA (PPAT_LNC004846)". The record is from RNAcentral. Lineage: Eukaryota; Viridiplantae; Streptophyta; Bryopsida; Funariales; Funariaceae.
AAAACCUUGUAUCCUCUCUUUUUCUUAACCUCCCUAAUUCUCGAAUCUCUGAAUCCUCUCCUCCACCCUCACCAUUUCCAAAUGUUUUUUACUCCCCUCCUCUCAAAUCCUAACCAUUUUCGAAUGUUUUUCUCUCCUCCUCUCAAAGCCUAGCCAUUUCCAAAUAUUUUUCUUCCCUCCUCUGAAACCCUAGCCAUUUUUGAAUGUUUUUUUCUCCCC